Mirounga angustirostris (Northern elephant seal) is the source of this 395-nucleotide long non-coding RNA. RefSeq lists it as uncharacterized. The transcript is spliced from 3 exons. Lineage: Eukaryota; Metazoa; Chordata; Mammalia; Carnivora; Phocidae. The record is from RefSeq and is a predicted model, not a curated record.
GUUCCCAGCUCUGAGCACGGCACCGAAGCCUUCAGAAGGCAGCAUGACAGAGGCAAAGGACUCAGUAUUUCUGAAAUGACUGGGAAAGGCGCCGAAAAGCAGUUCUCAGCAUUUUUUGGAGUAGACUGUCAAGAUAGAUCUCAAUCAAAACCUGGAUUGUUUUUCACUUUAUCUCAACCUGAUUAAACAGCAAGAAAAGAGGAUUCUGUCCUGAGGACCUGCUAGCUUGAAAGAAGUCUGCCACGGAGUGAUUAUAUAAACAUGAAAACUCACAGUUCUCUUUACUUUUUGGGCUGGGGCGGGGGGAGGGUCCGUCACAUCAAACUGCAGCUAAAGGGUUUGUCAUUUGACAAUCUCAAAUAUUGUAAAAUCUGACUCCCAAAGAAGACCUACUU